GACAGUGACGGAGGAGAUUGAUA
This 23-nucleotide non-coding RNA is filed under the name Arabidopsis thaliana (thale cress). Lineage: Eukaryota; Viridiplantae; Streptophyta; Magnoliopsida; Brassicales; Brassicaceae. The record is from RNAcentral.